RNAcentral lists this ribosomal RNA (468 nucleotides) under uncultured bacterium. RNAcentral describes it as "partial 16S ribosomal RNA". It matches the Rfam family "Bacterial small subunit ribosomal RNA", at positions 28 to 507 of the family's 1533-position model. The record is from RNAcentral.
GACGAACGCUGGCGGCGUGCUUAACACAUGCAAGUCGAACGGAAAGGCCCUGCUUUUGUGGGGUGCUCGAGUGGCGAACGGGUGAGUAACACGUGAGUAACCUGCCCUUGACUUUGGGAUAACUUCAGGAAACUGGGGCUAAUACCGGAUAGGAGCUCCUGCUGCAUGGUGGGGGUUGGAAAGUUUCGGCGGUUGGGGAUGGACUCGCGGCUUAUCAGCUUGUUGGUGGGGUAGUGGCUUACCAAGGCUUUGACGGGUAGCCGGCAUGAGAGGGUGGCCGGCCACCUUGGGACUGAGAUACGGCCCAGACUCCUACGGGAGGCAGCAGUGGGGAAUAUUGCACAAUGGGGGGAAGCCUGAUGCAGCAACGCCGGGGGCGGGAUGACGGCCUUCGGGUUGUAAACCGCUUUCGCCUGUGACGAAGCGUGAGUGACGGUAAUGGGUAAAGAAGCACCGGCUAACUACGUG